Molecule: transfer RNA, 73 nt
Filed under: Lentimicrobiaceae bacterium
Lineage: Bacteria; Pseudomonadati; Bacteroidota; Bacteroidia; Bacteroidales; Lentimicrobiaceae
Also listed under: 1 other name
Description: tRNA-Phe
Rfam family: tRNA
About the family: Transfer RNA (tRNA) molecules are approximately 80 nucleotides in length. Their secondary structure includes four short double-helical elements and three loops (D, anti-codon, and T loops). Further hydrogen bonds mediate the characteristic L-shaped molecular structure. tRNAs have two regions of fundamental functional importance: the anti-codon, which is responsible for specific mRNA codon recognition, and the 3' end, to which the tRNAs corresponding amino acid is attached (by aminoacyl-tRNA synthetases). tRNAs cope with the degeneracy of the genetic code in two manners: having more than one tRNA (with a specific anti-codon) for a particular amino acid; and 'wobble' base-pairing, i.e. permitting non-standard base-pairing at the 3rd anti-codon position.
Source: RNAcentral
GGUACCAUAGCUCAGUUGGUAGAGCAAUGGACUGAAAAUCCAUGUGUCGCUAGUUCGAAUCUCGCUGGUACCA